Molecule: ribosomal RNA, 233 nt
Filed under: uncultured bacterium
Lineage: Bacteria
Description: partial 16S ribosomal RNA
Rfam family: Bacterial small subunit ribosomal RNA
Source: RNAcentral
UACGUAGGGUGCGAGCGUUAAUCGGAAUUACUGGGCGUAAAGCGUGCGCAGGCGGUUUUGUAAGCCAGAUGUAGAAACGCCCGGGCUUAACCUGGGAAUGGCAUUUGGGACUGCAAGGCUUGAGUGCGGCAGAGGGAGACUGGAAUUCCCGGUGUAGCAGUAGAAAUGCGUAGAUAUCGGGAGGAAUACCGAUGGCGAAGGCAGGUCCUCGUGGGCUGACACUGACGCUCAUG